AAUUAUCUUCAGGGCAGGGUGUAAUUCCCUACCGGUGGUACAGCCCACGAGCCGCAAGGCAUGAUUCGGUGUAAUUCCGAAGCCGACAGUAUAGUCUGGAUGAAAGAAGAUGGAU
Molecule: regulatory RNA element, 115 nt
Organism: Clostridiales bacterium CHKCI001
Lineage: Bacteria; Bacillati; Bacillota; Clostridia; Eubacteriales
Rfam family: FMN riboswitch aptamer (RFN element)
About the family: The RFN element is a highly conserved domain that is found frequently in the 5'-untranslated regions of prokaryotic mRNAs that encode for flavin mononucleotide (FMN) biosynthesis and transport proteins.
Source: Rfam